This 244-nucleotide long non-coding RNA is filed under the name Phoenix dactylifera (date palm). Its description in RNAcentral is "long non-coding RNA (PDAC_LNC009138)". Lineage: Eukaryota; Viridiplantae; Streptophyta; Magnoliopsida; Arecales; Arecaceae. The record is from RNAcentral.
AAAAAAGAACCACAUCAGGCAAAUUCUAAAAAUUACUUGCCAUGUUGGUACCACCGGCGAGCUCUAACCCCUAUUAGGAGGAGAGAGGGCAACAUUAUAAUAAUCCAAAAAAUGCAGGAUUGACAUUAUGGCAAUUAGACACAUAGCAAGGUAUUUGCAAAUUCAUGCAAAAUGCAGGAGGUUAUCUUUUUUAGCCUAAAACAAACUAGUAACUCUAUAUUUUUUUUUUCAAAAGAAACCAUCU